RNAcentral lists this unclassified non-coding RNA (331 nucleotides) under Hevea brasiliensis (rubber tree). The record is from RNAcentral. Lineage: Eukaryota; Viridiplantae; Streptophyta; Magnoliopsida; Malpighiales; Euphorbiaceae.
GCAGGGUGACGGCGCGGGCAUGGCUCCCGACCGCGACGUCAACGACGCGCGCGAGUCCACUGCCCGGGUUUUUCUGUUCCACGGGCUCGCGCGGCGCGCCAAAUCGGGGGNGCGCCAAAUCUGGGUCUUGGGUAGCUCUCAGCCAUCGGUUCCGCAUACGCUGAAACCGAUAGCCGGACAACAGGUUGAGCCGGUUCUACUGAAUUCUCACGACGACUGUGUCCGCCGCGCCAGUCGCGUCCAUAACCGUCAGCCGGACGAAGCCCGGCCCCGGCGGAUCGACCAGUUUUUGCCUUCUGCUGUCGAUAUUUCCGACCGCGACGCCGUUAAC